Molecule: unclassified non-coding RNA, 409 nt
Filed under: Zea mays
Lineage: Eukaryota; Viridiplantae; Streptophyta; Magnoliopsida; Poales; Poaceae
Description: misc RNA Zm00001eb422380
Source: RNAcentral
AGGAAAUCCGAGCUGGGGACUGGGGGGAGCUCGGCUGGCGAGCAGGGAGCACCAGAGAAGGUCAACGGCGAGCUAAGGGGGCGCCGCGAGCUUGAAGAUGGAGCAGAGGGAGCAGUGCUGGGACAGCAGUGGAGAGCGCGCCGAGUGAGAAGUAGAGGAAGCGCGCACCACGGGAGCUUCGAGCUGAGCGAGCUGGAGCAGAGGCGCUGUCCAUGCGCCCGCCAUGGGAGAUCGAGAGGAGGGACCAGAGAUGCGGCAACAGAGGAGGCUAAGGAAAAGCAGCUGCGCGCGGCUGUAAAAUGGAAGACGAUGGAGUCUGCGUGAGAGAUAUGGAAAAGGAAUCGGCUGGAAAAUUCAGAGCUGGCAGCUGGGGCGGCAUGGAGAUAAGUACCGGUAUGUAAAAAAAUCA